UACGUAGGUGGCAAGCGUUGUCCGGAUUUAUUGGGCGUAAAGGGAGCGCAGGCGGUGACUUAAGUCUGAUGUGAAAGCCCACGGCUCAACCGUGGAAGGUCAUUGGAAACUGGGUCACUUGAAUAUAGAAGAGGAAAGUGGAAUUCCAUGUGUAGCGGUGAAAUGCGUAGAGAUCGGGAGGAACACCAGUGGCGAAGGCGGGUAACUGGACUGCAACUGACGCUGAGGCGCGAAAGUGUGCGGAGCAAACAGGAUUAGAUACCCCUGUA
Molecule: ribosomal RNA, 269 nt
Filed under: uncultured prokaryote
Description: partial 16S ribosomal RNA
Rfam family: Bacterial small subunit ribosomal RNA
Source: RNAcentral